AUCAAUUGUGUACUACAUUCGCGUAAUAAUCUAACAUAUAGACGAUUCAGCGUGAAAUUAUUGUCAACAAACCCACGUGGAGCACAAAUGAUUUACAAUGAUUGACUGGAAGUGACAGGCCUUCUCUUCAAAAUAAAUAAGGAUGGGCCAAAACUGUAAAAUCUGGACAGAAAUUAAAACGCAAGCAUAAGAACUACAUUGUGUUUUGUAUAGAUGUGUCCCUGCUACGGAGGCAGCUAACAGAAAGGGGAUAUAAUUAAGAUUGCAUUGUGGAUUUGCCCUGUGCCACCUCUAAAUGGCAGAAGAAAACUCAACUCAGCACAACCAGAAACACUUUUCUGAAGAAAAUUCUGCCAAGAGACAGUUGUGAAGGGAAUCGUGUAGAUAAUCUCCAGAAAAGAAAUCAGCACUGAUAUUGGGAUGUAUGUACCAAUAUUUUAAUACAAUCAUCAAAGACAAAUUUACCACAGGAAUAAAAAUAAAACUGUCUGGCAUUCAAGGGCCUGCCAUGGUAGAAGCUCUCCUGAAAAAAUAUUCCAUUUAUUGUGGACAUCAUGACACAGGGUUCACCUGUCAUCAGCAUUAAAGACUUGUGUGAUUUGUUCUACCUGGGCCAUAUAUGUAUUGAAUGAAAACAAUUCAUAGAACCACAAGCACAUUGUAAAUCUAUGUAAGGUCUUCUGUGUAUGUUGUAUUCCUUAUAUAAUUUGCUGUUUUAUAACAAGACUUUGUUUCAUUGGUACUAAAACUUAAUGCAUGUACACAUACAAAACCCAAAAGCAGUUGUGAUAUUUAUUGUUUUUUAUUACUCAUUAGUUCUCAUUUUUGUGUGAAAUUUUAUAAUUUUCCAUUUCUUGUUCCCCAAAACCAUAUCUUACAAAUUUUAUGUAUUGCAACUUGCAUUUCAAUUUUAACUUGUUAUACUUUACAAAAAACAAGAGGUACUGUGAGCAAUCAACUGACUAAA
Molecule: long non-coding RNA, 967 nt
Organism: Saccostrea cuccullata (small rock oyster)
Lineage: Eukaryota; Metazoa; Mollusca; Bivalvia; Ostreida; Ostreidae
Exons: 3
Source: RefSeq, a predicted model, not a curated record